Long non-coding RNA from Cyprinus carpio carpio, 1375 nucleotides. The record is from Ensembl. Lineage: Eukaryota; Metazoa; Chordata; Actinopteri; Cypriniformes; Cyprinidae.
AGUCAGGAUUCUUUCCUCCCAGUAUCGCUGUUCUAAACAAUAAACAAGUUAGACCAGUCAUGUGUAGUGCCAGGUGCAAUCGCAUACCCAAAAAGUUUUAGGGCACGUUCAGCGAUCUGAUACGCGUGCCUCUUCUGCAGCGGAAUAUAAACCAAAGGACAAUCAUGAAGCCCUUGGCAUUGCUGACACUUCUGCUCAUCACGAGUGGUUCUGCAGUGGGGCAAAUGUUGAAAUCUAAUGUGACUGGCUAUGUUGGAAAGGAUGUACUUUUAUCAUUUAACUGUUCUAAAGACCCUAAAGAGCUGAUAUGGCAGAAAGGUGAGAGAUUAGUGAAUGUUCAUUCACAAGACAAAAUCACCAUAGAUGAUUCCUACGUGGACAGGACACAACUCUUCAUAAACAUGGAGAAGAGAAACUGUUCCCUACUGCUCCGCAACAUCUCUACAGCAGAUGCAGGACUGUACACCUGUUAUGCCAUAGACACUGUUGAUAACAAGGUCUGGACAAAGGAGUCUACAGAAGUUAAUUUAACAGUGGAGAUCAACCCUGAAAAAAGCGUCCAAACUGAAGAAGAAUCUGACACAGCUGUCCCUGUUAGUGUUCCCAUAGCGGUAGUACUGCUUAUACUGGCUGUUAUCCUGCUUCUAAUCCUACUGAUCAGAAGACAACAUCGGACACGCACGGACACUGAUUUACCGGCUGAGAAACCUAUGCUACAGAAUGUGUGAAGUGCUCUUGCUUGACAGUUUAAUGGACUUACUUCUAUGUUGUAAUGCAAGGUCCUUCACAACAACAACAAUGGACAAUAAGAGGCCUUAGCCCUAAACAAAUGCGUUCGCAUGUGGGCAUUACACAAUGGUGCGUGCUGAUCCGUCUCACUUUGAGACAGAUUAAUGUUCAGUUUUCAGUUGUAACACUGUUACUUGUUUACCACUGAAUUGUGAAUACACUGCGGAUAUACAUUCAGUAGGCAUUACAGUUUUGUAAUUUGACAAGAUUCUCCUUGUAGGAACUGUCUUUAUUCAUUCUUUGAAGAACAGAUGUGAGGGGUAGGGGACAUGCAGUUUGUAUUUUGCCUUUUCCUCUCUCUUUGAGACAAACUGGUGGUCUCAAUCCUAAACAAGCUUUCCAAAUAAUUUUAUUUUAUUGUUCAUAUGUGUACAGCAAUCAUUUACUAAGCACUCAUCAUGCAAGCUUCUUUACAUUUACUCUUGAAUUGGUUGUUUUACUCAGCCUGUGCUGAUUUCAUUUAUGUGGAAGAAAUAAUAUGGCACUCCCUAUGGGAUAUAUUUGCUUUUUUUACUGUACUAAAUUUCAUUUACUUUUAAAUGAAUUCUGUAAAGUGCUUCAAACCUGUCAAGGCAAUAAACCUUUU